AGAGUUUGAUCCUGGCUCAGAAUGAACGCUGGCGGCGCGCCUAACACAUGUAAGUCGAACGAGAAAUUUCUGCUUCGGCGGAAAGAGUAAAGUGGCGCACGGGUGAGUAACGCGUGGGUAACCUGCCCUCGAAUUCGGGAUAACUUCGCGAAAGCGGCGCUAAUACCGAAUAUCGUCACAGAGACCUUGGUUUUUGUGAUGAAAGAUGACCUAUCCAUGGAAGUUGUCGUUCGGGGAGGGGCUCGCGUACCAUUAGCUUGUUGGUGGGGUAAUGGCCUACCAAGGCGACGAUGGUUAGCUGGUCUGAGAGGAUGAUCAGCCACACUGGCACUGAAACACGGGCCAGACUCCUACGGGAGGCAGCAGUGAGGAAUUUUGCGCAAUGGGGGAAACCCUGACGCAGCAACGCCGCGUGAGUGAAGAAGGCUUUCGGGUCGUAAAGCUCUGUCAAGUGGGAAAAAAGCCUUUCAGUUAAUAGCUGGAAGGUCUGAUGGUACCACUGGAGGAAGCACCGGCUAACUCCGUGCCAGCAGCCGCGGUAAUACGGAGGGUGCAAGCGUUGUUCGGAAUUACUGGGCGUAAAGAGCGUGUAGGCGGUAAGGUAAGUCAGAUGUGAAAGCCCUGGGCUUAACCCAGGAAGUGCAUUUGAAACUGCCCUACUAGAGUAUGGGAGAGGAGAGUGGAAUUCCCGGUGUAGAGGUGAAAUUCGUAGAUAUCGGGAGGAACAUCCGUGGCGAAGGCGACUCUCUGGACCAAUACUGACGCUGAGACGCGAAAGCGUGGGGAGCAAACAGGAUUAGAUACCCUGGUAGUCCACGCCGUAAACGAUGAGCACUAGGUGUAGCGGGUAUUGACCCCUGCUGUGCCGCAGCUAACGCAUUAAGUGCUCCGCCUGGGGAGUACGGCCGCAAGGCUAAAACUCAAAGGAAUUGACGGGCCCGCACAAGCGGUGGAGCAUGUGGUUUAAUUCGACGCAACGCGAAGAACCUUACCUGGAUUUGACAUCCCCUGACACCCCAGGAAACUGGGUUUACCCUGCUUGCAGGGACAGGGUGACAGGUGCUGCAUGGCUGUCGUCAUCUCGUGUCGUGAGAUGUUGGGUUAAGUCCCGCAACGAGCGCAACCCCUGUCUUUAGUUGCCAGUAUUAAGUUAGGCACUCUAAAGAUACUGCCUCGGCUAACGGGGAGGAAGGUGGGGAUGACGUCAAGUCCUCAUGGCCUUUAUAUCCAGGGCUACACACGUGCUACAAUGGGUCGUACAAUGGGUC
RNAcentral lists this ribosomal RNA (1268 nucleotides) under metagenome. RNAcentral's name for it is "bacterial SSU rRNA". It matches the Rfam family "Bacterial small subunit ribosomal RNA", at positions 8 to 1248 of the family's 1533-position model. The record is from RNAcentral.